Molecule: ribosomal RNA, 548 nt
Filed under: uncultured Glomeromycotina
Lineage: Eukaryota; Fungi; Glomeromycota
Description: SSU rRNA
Rfam family: Eukaryotic small subunit ribosomal RNA
Source: RNAcentral
UUGGAGGGCAAGUCUGGUGCCAGCAGCCGCGGUAAUUCCAGCUCCAAUAGCGUAUAUUAAAGUUGCUGCAGUUAAAAAGCUCGUAGUUGAAUUUCGGGACCGAUAUAUCGGUCGUGCCUCGGUACGUACUGGUAUUUUCGGUUUCUACCUUCUGACGAACCUUGAUGUCAUUAAUUUGGUGUCUUGGGAAAUCAGGACUGUUACUUUGAAAAAAUUAGAGUGUUUAAAGCAGGCUCACGCUUGAAUACAUUAGCAUGGAAUAAUGAAAUAGGACGUUUGAUUCUAUUUUGUUGGUUUCUAGGAUCGACGCAAUGAUUAAUAGGGAUAGUUGGGGGCAUUAGUAUUCAAUUGUCAGAGGUGAAAUUCUUGGAUUUAUUGAAGACUAACUACUGCGAAAGCAUUUGCCAAGGAUGUUUUCAUUAAUCAAGAACGAAAGUUAGGGGAUCGAAGACGAUCAGAUACCGUCGUAGUCUUAACCAUAAACUAUGCCGACUAGGGAUCGGAUGAUGUUAAUUUUUUAAUGACUCAUUCGGCGCCUUACGGGAAAC